This 253-nucleotide ribosomal RNA is filed under the name uncultured bacterium. RNAcentral's name for it is "partial 16S ribosomal RNA". It matches the Rfam family "Bacterial small subunit ribosomal RNA", at positions 524 to 776 of the family's 1533-position model. The record is from RNAcentral.
UACGUAGGGGGCAAGCGUUAUCCGGAAUUACUGGGUGUAAAGGGAGCGUAGACGGUGAUGUAAGUCUGGAGUGAAAGGCGGGGGCCCAACCCCCGGACUGCUCUGGAAACUAUGUGACUGGAGUGCAGGAGAGGUGAGCGGAAUUCCUAGUGUAGCGGUGAAAUGCGUAGAUAUUAGGAGGAACACCAGUGGCGAAGGCGGCUCACUGGACUGUAACUGACGUUGAGGCUCGAAAGCGUGGGGAGCAAACAGG